Molecule: ribosomal RNA, 328 nt
Filed under: uncultured bacterium
Lineage: Bacteria
Description: bacterial SSU rRNA
Rfam family: Bacterial small subunit ribosomal RNA
Source: RNAcentral
GACGAACGCUGGCGGCGUGCUUAACACAUGCAAGUCGAACGGAGCGAAAUGGAAGCUUGCUUCUAUGGAGCUUAGUGGCGAACGGGUGAGUAACGCGUAAUCAACCUGCCCUUCAGAGGGGGACAACAGUUGGAAACGACUGCUAAUACCGCAUACGAUUCAACUUCGGCAUCGAGGAUGAAUGAAAGGUGGCCUCUAUUUAUAAGCUAUCGCUGAAGGAGGGGAUUGCGUCUGAUUAGCUAGUUGGAGGGGUAACGGCCACCAAGGCGAUGAUCAGUAGCCGGUCUGAGAGGAUGAACGGCCACAUUGGGACUGAGACACGGCCCAG